ACAGAUAGCACCAAGCAUCCUGUCUUCUAAAUGUGAACGCUGACAUGUUGUGGCACUAGCCACACAAGUGUUUAAAUAAACACUCCCUUUAGUUAAAAUGCCUGGCCAGGUAACUUCUUAAUUAUUGUAUCUAUUUAAUUAAGGAUUCCCCUUUAAGAAGGCUGAACUCCCAUGAGCCUUUGUUCUUUUUUAAACAGGUAGAGGGUGGAAGGGAGGCAGGUUUUGUGUUCUGGGUUCCUCCAUUUUGUGUAUGGCGGUGUGGUUUGUGUGCAGGUUCUGAAUGGGUUCCAGUUGGCUUUCAGGAUUUUAUUUACAAGAAAAUUAUAUUAAAUAAGAACUAUACCUACCUUGGAGCAUCUCUUGGACAACUUGUUGCUGUUGGACUGCCACUGGAACUACAGAAUAAGCAUCAACAAACAAACAAACAGUCGGGUCUGUGAGGAUGAGAAGGUCUCCACAGUCUGGAGUCUGGUCUCUGACAGGCUCAACAUACCUGUCAAUCAACAGGGACUCCUCUACAAAGGCAAGGCGCUGGCAGGUAGGCUGAACAGCACAGCACAGCUCACCCCUCCUCUCACCCCUCACCUCACCCCUCCUCUCAACACUCCUCGCACGCCUCGCCUCACCCCGGGUCAGUGUGGCACAGCCUGCCUGCUCUUCUGAACAAACACUUCAGCCCUGCCGACGCAGUGACAGUCUGGAGCAGCAACACAAGGUGAUGAAGUGACACUUUGAAUAUGGGGCCUGAUGAGAGAAGUAUCCUUUUCAUGUGGUUUUGGUUUUGCCGUUGUGAGCAGGUGUGGGAGACAGCACCGUGUCUGCAUGUGAAAUAACAAAGUCAUUCACAGGGCAUGCUUGUUCAUUUAAAGCACGCUGCACUGCAGGGGAGACACCGCUGGCAUUCACAGGGCAUGCUUGUUCAUUUAAAGCACGCUGCACUGCAGGGGAGACACCGCUGGCAUUCACAGGACAUGCUUGUUCAUUUAAAACACGCUGCUGUGGGAUGUUUGCACAGUGAUCUUGUAUCUUAUUUUCAGGUGAAGUUUUGAAUGCAUCAAGUUGGAAGACUUGGUU
This is a long non-coding RNA of Acipenser ruthenus (sterlet), 1074 nucleotides long. RefSeq lists it as uncharacterized. The record is from RefSeq and is a predicted model, not a curated record. Lineage: Eukaryota; Metazoa; Chordata; Actinopteri; Acipenseriformes; Acipenseridae. The transcript has 3 exons.